CUGUAGCUGUAGCUCAGUGGGAGAGCAGUUACCUCACACGCAUGAGGCCCUAGGUUCAUUUCCUAGUUUUGGAGA
Molecule: transfer RNA, 75 nt
Filed under: Mus musculus (house mouse)
Lineage: Eukaryota; Metazoa; Chordata; Mammalia; Rodentia; Muridae
Description: tRNA-Val
Source: RNAcentral